GGAUUUGAGGGCAAUCUGGUUGCAACAACUGUCACCCCUUUGAUGGCCAAGGUUGAUUAGGCUGAUCUGGCUGGCUAGGCGGGUGUCCCCUUUAUCCCUCACCCCUCCAUGUGUGUCCCUCCUGAAGAUGCGAAGCUACACUCUUGGUUGAAGAGGAUGACCUUUCCCAAAAUUGAGGAGGAUAGGUCUUCGGUCAAGGGUAUACCAAGUAGCUGUGUUCCCCUGCUAGAACCUCCAAAUAAGCUCAAGGUCCAUUUAUAAUUUAAUUUUUACACAUAUACUUUGAAACAAUGAAAUGCACUUUCUAUGAGU
RNAcentral lists this small nuclear RNA (312 nucleotides) under Meriones unguiculatus (Mongolian gerbil). RNAcentral describes it as "7SK RNA (ENSMUGG00000002588.1)". It matches the Rfam family "7SK RNA". Rfam says of the family: 7SK was discovered as an abundant small nuclear RNA in the mid-70s but a possible function has only recently been suggested. Two independent studies have found that 7SK RNA binds the CDK9/cyclin T complex (known as elongation factor P-TEFb). The record is from RNAcentral. Lineage: Eukaryota; Metazoa; Chordata; Mammalia; Rodentia; Muridae.